Molecule: microRNA precursor, 55 nt
Organism: Gadus morhua (Atlantic cod)
Lineage: Eukaryota; Metazoa; Chordata; Actinopteri; Gadiformes; Gadidae
Source: Ensembl
AACCCGUAGAUCCAAACUUGUGUUGACAUUAGACAACAAGCUUACGUCUACUGGU